This 468-nucleotide ribosomal RNA is filed under the name uncultured bacterium. RNAcentral's name for it is "partial 16S ribosomal RNA". It matches the Rfam family "Bacterial small subunit ribosomal RNA", at positions 28 to 507 of the family's 1533-position model. The record is from RNAcentral.
GACGAACGCUGGCGGCGUGCUUAACACAUGCAAGUCGAACGGAAAGGCCCUGCUUUUGUGGGGUGCUCGAGUGGCGAACGGGUGAGUAACACGUGUGUAACCUGCCCUUGACUUUGGGAUAACUUCAGGAAACUGGGGCUAAUACCGGAUAGGAGCUCCUGCUGCAUGGUGGGGGUUGGAAAGUUUCGGCGGUUGGGGAUGGACUCUCGGCUUAUCAGCUUGUUGGUGGGGUAGUGGCUUACCAAGGCUUUGACGGGUAGCCGGCCUGAGAGGGUGACCGGCCACAUUGGGACUGAGAUACGGCCCAGACUCCUACGGGAGGCAGCAGUGGGGAAUAUUGCACAAUGGGCGGAAGCCUGAUGCAGCAACGCCGCGUGCGGGAUGACGGCCUUCGGGUUGUAAACCGCUUUCGCCUGUGACGAAGCGUGAGUGACGGUAAUGGGUAAAGAAGCACCGGCUAACUACGUG